UCCAGGUACAGUUGCACAGGGUUUCUUUCCCCUAUUCCUUAGAUCUGUUGUCCUGGAGGCACUAACAGUGUUGCUGAUGGGCUUAGCCUUGGCCAGUGGCACGUCCAUCUUGGACCUGGCUGGCAUAGGGGAAGCUUCUGGCAGCUUCUCACAGAAGCUACCCCAUAGUCCUCCCAGCUAGCAACAGCUUGCCAUGCAAACUUGAUACACUGCUGUUCUCACUGUGCUAAGUACAGCUUGAAUUGCUGUGGCUUGUACAAGCACAUGGGAAGAUGCAGUUCUUACAAGUUUGAAGCCUAAAAUGGAAAACUUCCAAAUGAGGAAAGGGAGAAGAAGACGGUGACAUCUGCAAAAUUAUCACAGUGACCUGUUGAUCUGACGUCUUUUUGGUGUGUAGCACUUUAUUUACUUUGAAAACAUCCAGUUUUAUCAUUUUGUCAUGGAAAAUCUCAUGACAGUGAUGCAGAAAAGAGGAUUGUUAAGUUUUCCAAUGGGAAAGAAAACAGAGAAAAAAGUAAGGGGGUGAGAAAAUGUGUGUUCUGUUGGGAACAAUAUGGACACAUGGACAGUAAAGUGGCAUGACUGAGGUGUCACAGAAGCGAAGGAGGAGGAGACAAAGCUGACCUGUAAUCAGCAGUGACACACUUCAGUGGCAGAUCUGGACCUCUGGCCCAGCUCUUGCGGUUCCCAUGUAUGGUAAGGGAAAGAGGCUGCUGGAUUUCUUGUCCUGGAUUUCUCUUGUCUGCAGUGUUUGCAGUCUAUUAGGUAACUCUUUCUAACAGAUAAUUCUUAACCAUCCCUUCUUAUUUCAUUAAAUUGCCAAAGCGUGGGGUAACACUGAACAGCAAUGCUUGUUAUUUUGGGUUCUUUGCAUUUUUGUACUGUUCAGAUUCAGAUUAUUCUGGCUGCUGUUUAGGUCAGAGUGUGUGGCGACACAUCUGCUGAAAGCUUCUUUGAAAGAGCUUUUUAAGUCCUGAAGAAGUUGGGCUAUGACUGGCAAAAGAACUUUAGUAGGGCUCUUUAACUUCUUGCCUUCUUGUGAAGGACUCUUUUGAACUUCUGGUUGGAUUUUGAAGGCUUAGGGGGUUCUCUAGUUCCACAUCUGCCUUCAAAAAUCCCAUAAUUAAGCUUCAGAGACUUAAGGCCUGACACUGAGAUGGCACAGGCUCAAUGGUUGUGACAGAUAAACGUGGAGAAAUGCCAAAUAAGAGAAUUCUGGGUGAGGCCCUGUCUUUGAAGAGCUGUUUUGUUGUCUCGUGCUGGUGUAACACUGAGUAGGGAGAGGCAAGGACACCUUACUGACUGCAGGCACUUCUCCUUUGUGGAGUGCCUGUGUGGAACAGAGGAUUGCGGCAGAAGGGACUCAGCUGCUGCUUGGAGGAAUAGGCAGCAACAGAAAGAGGUCAUCCUGAGGUUGUCCACAAAACCAGUGCUAAUCGCUGUUGGCCAUGACCCUGCAAUGGUGGCUUGAGUGCCUAUACAGCUAUGUCCAAAUUACUGUGCUGCAAGAGGAACAGGGAAGGGCAAAACCAGGCAGUAGGUGAGUACCAGCCAGUGCAGCAAUCUAGGUGCUUGUCUAUGUAAAUUGUGUAAUUGGCUUUUUCCUU
This is a long non-coding RNA of Neopsephotus bourkii (Bourke's parrot), 1607 nucleotides long. RefSeq lists it as uncharacterized. The record is from RefSeq and is a predicted model, not a curated record. NCBI's taxonomy places the organism in Eukaryota, Metazoa, Chordata, Aves, Psittaciformes, Psittacidae. The transcript is spliced from 3 exons.